UAUAGAGUUCCAAUACAAUAUCAAACCAAAACCAAAAAAAAA
Molecule: small RNA, 42 nt
Filed under: Arabidopsis thaliana (thale cress)
Lineage: Eukaryota; Viridiplantae; Streptophyta; Magnoliopsida; Brassicales; Brassicaceae
Description: ATSL230800
Source: RNAcentral